RNAcentral lists this ribosomal RNA (253 nucleotides) under uncultured bacterium. RNAcentral's name for it is "partial 16S ribosomal RNA". It matches the Rfam family "Bacterial small subunit ribosomal RNA", at positions 524 to 776 of the family's 1533-position model. The record is from RNAcentral.
UACGAAGGGGGCUAGCGUUGUUCGGAAUUACUGGGCGUAAAGCGCACGUAGGCGGGUCGUUAAGUCAGGGGUGAAAUCCCGGAGCUCAACUCCGGAACUGCCUUUGAUACUGGCGAUCUUGAGAUCGGAAGAGGUGAGUGGAAUUGCGAGUGUAGAGGUGAAAUUCGUAGAUAUUCGCAGGAACACCAGUGGCGAAGGCGGCUUACUGGUCCAUAACUGACGCUGAGGUGCGAAAGCGUGGGGAGCAAACAGG